RNAcentral lists this ribosomal RNA (255 nucleotides) under uncultured bacterium. Its description in RNAcentral is "partial 16S ribosomal RNA". The record is from RNAcentral.
CUGCUGCCUUCCGUAGGAGUUUGGGCCGUGUCUCAGUCCCGAUGUGGCCGGUCACCCUCUCAGGUCGGCUACUGAUCGUUGCCUUGGUGAGCCGUUACCUCUCCAACUAGCUAAUCAGACGCGGGUCCAUCUCAUACCACCUCAGUUUUUCACACCAAACCAUGCGGUUUUGUGCGCUUAUGCGGUAUUAGCAGUCAUUUCUAACUGUUAUCCCCCUGUAUGAGGCAGGUUACCCACGCGUUACUCACCCGUCCG